RNAcentral lists this long non-coding RNA (229 nucleotides) under Elaeis guineensis (African oil palm). RNAcentral's name for it is "long non-coding RNA (EGUI_LNC033004)". The record is from RNAcentral. Lineage: Eukaryota; Viridiplantae; Streptophyta; Magnoliopsida; Arecales; Arecaceae.
GGGCCACAAUUGAGUGGGCUCUAAAUCUUAGUGUGUGAGAAUUUUUAUUGGACUAUAAAGCUCAUCCGCUCCAUUUCUCUUUUUCUUCUCAAACAUAAGUGAGAGUGUGCGGCCAUCACAUGCCCGACAUAAAUGUUGCGUUCAAGACAUGACAGAUAGUUGUGAUGGAAAUGAUGUUGGCCGUGGUAAUGGCAAUGAUAGUAUUGGGGAUGAUGGUGAUGACAGACAU